Long non-coding RNA from Leptopilina boulardi, 689 nucleotides. RefSeq lists it as uncharacterized. The record is from RefSeq and is a predicted model, not a curated record. NCBI's taxonomy places the organism in Eukaryota, Metazoa, Arthropoda, Insecta, Hymenoptera, Figitidae. The transcript has 3 exons.
UUUUUUGUUUGUUGUUUUUAAUUGAUUUUUAUAAUUUUUAUUAUUUUAUUAAUUUAAUACUUUUUAUUUUUAAACUACUUUUAUUUUCAUUUAUUUUUUAUUUUGUGCUUCAGUUUUUUAUUUUUUGAAUGUUUUUUCUUAGGGGAGAGUCAGUACUAGUCGGGCCAGUACUUCGUUAAAAGCCCUUUCACAUUGGCGCCAUCUACCUUUGCAUGCAAAUACUUACUAGCGUUAGUAAUAAACUUUUAACGUCACUUUUAGUAACUCUCAGUGAAAUGCGCAAUUCGUACAGAUGUGUUUUGUAAAAGUGCACUAAAGAUUAAAAGGAAAACUUGUUUGUGGUGUCCGAAAAAAUGAAUUGAACAAAAGAAGAAGAUGCAAACAAUAAAGCAACAAAUGUAAGAGAAAAAAGUAUAAUUCCCGUUACGAUAGUGAUUACUAUACUAUAAAUAGCAAGUGUCCUGGCUGUGGGUUUUACUCUUGCGAUUAACAAGCCCGAUACUAUCACAACUAAACCAAUCACGACUGGUUUUAGAAAUGCUCAAUUCUUGAGGUGAGAGGAUCAUUGAAUCCUAGAAGUAAACCAGUAGGCCUGGGCGCAUAAAAACGAGACUCAAGGAAUAUGUUUUCGUUUGCUAUGAAAUUAACAAUGGCCAUGGCACAGAAAGCCGCUGCAAAAACAUUAGAGA